GCUGGGCAUGGUGGCGCAUGCCUGUAAUCCCAGCUACUUGGGAGGCUGAGGCAGGAGAAUUGCUUGCACCCAGGAGACGGAGGUUGCAGUGAGCUGAGAGUGCACCAUUGCACUCCAGCCUGAGUGACAGAAUGAGAUUCCGUCUCAA
This is an unclassified non-coding RNA of Papio anubis (olive baboon), 148 nucleotides long. It matches the Rfam family "Metazoan signal recognition particle RNA". Rfam says of the family: The signal recognition particle (SRP) is a universally conserved ribonucleoprotein. It is involved in the co-translational targeting of proteins to membranes. The eukaryotic SRP consists of a 300-nucleotide 7S RNA and six proteins: SRPs 72, 68, 54, 19, 14, and 9. The record is from Ensembl. Lineage: Eukaryota; Metazoa; Chordata; Mammalia; Primates; Cercopithecidae.